Molecule: non-coding RNA, 670 nt
Filed under: Pan troglodytes (chimpanzee)
Lineage: Eukaryota; Metazoa; Chordata; Mammalia; Primates; Hominidae
Source: RNAcentral
CCUAAAUGACUGACACUGAAUAGCCAUCCUUUCAGGAGAGAGUCCAUUUCAGACCCACAGGAAGUAUGACGUUAGUCUCAAGACACCUUUAUCAAAAUACAACAGUUCUAAUAGCUGCCUAAGACUUAUUCAGAUGAAAUCUUUUUGUUAUACAACCACAUAAGCAUAUGGAGAAAGAGAGAGAAUAUUUUGGGAAGUACCUGUUUAUGCAACAUGUUUUAGCCUUUCAGAUAGUUCCUGUGGUACACAUUUGGCUUGUACACUCAAAAGAUGGAUGUGAAUACCACUCUAUCAGAGUAAGUUCAUGAAGCAGCCCUGAGAGAGAAUAAACUAGAACCCAUGGGGCGUAGCGUGAAGGACAGCCUGGAUUGUUCCUUUCUCUUAAUAGGCUUGUACCAACUGGACUGCAUUUUCUGUCUAGUUUUAGGUGAAGUAGAUCUUUCAGAACCUGUCCUGGCCCAAACCUGAAAAUGGUCCUGAAGUCACAAUGUCUCCAGAAUCUAGGAGCGCCUCUCUGAAGUGCUUGGUGAGACGGAAUUUUACCAUGUUGACCAGGCUGAUCUGGAACUCCUGACCUCAGCAUGAAAAUCCUUACAAGAUGCCAGCACCAUGCUCUUGGAGUUCCCGACUUCCAGAACUGUGGACCAAAUAAAACACUAUUGUUUAUAAA